ACCUGCCAGAUAAAAAAGACAAUAAUGAGAUUCAUGCUGGAAAAGCCAACCUGGGUGAAUUCCUGCUGAAAGAAUGCCGGCUGCCUUCCCUGAUGUGGCCAUCUUGCUGAAUCCAAUCUCAUGUGUUUGGGAGCUAUAGAGCCACGUCCAUUUGGCUCUAGCCAAGACCUGUUUGUGCCCCUGGGCACCCCCUGAACCCCACAACCUGGGAGCCACUAGCUGCCUUGUUCCCCCAGGAUAAUGUCCAGCCCAAUAGAACAGCUUAAACUGACCCAGCCUCCUGAGCACUUUGGCAUCGAUCACCAAUUAUGACUGGAGGGGCCCGGAGCCUGGCAUCCCACCAUGGUAUCAGUGAAGAUGCUUUCAGGACCUCUGGUUCAAAGAAGUGGUUCAAGAUGUUCAAGAUGUUACUGACCUCAUCAUCACUAUCAGUUUCAUCUGUUUUGGCUGAGAACAUUGUCGUACUGGACCUGUCAAAGAAUCAUUCAGUGAUCAGUCACUCGGAGUUGGUCUGAGGAUUCAGUCACUCAGAGUUGGACUGGAAGACGGACACUAGGACUUAGAGUGAAGAGAGGCACUUUAGGAGAGACUGGAAGAGAGAUACUUGGACUUGGAGUGAAGACACUUGACUGUGGAAUUGGACCCCUGGAGGAGCUCAUGCAGGAGACCUCAGACUGCUUUUCUUUGGUCAUGAUGGUGAGUGUAAAGGCUGACUUCUUUCCUUUCCCUUUCCGGAAGUGUGAACCUCCAAGAAAGGCCAAUCGUCUUGAGACUCCUUUCCCCUAACUGGUGCCUUAGAAUUUCUAACUGGUUCAGAGGAAGUCAGAGCUUUCUCUCUCUCUCUCUCUCUCUCUCUCUCUCUCUCUCUCUCUCUCUCUCUCUCUCUCUCUCUCUCUCUCUCUCUCUCUCUCCCCUCUUUUCUCUCUUCCUUAAUAUCUUCCUUCCAUUGUAAAAAUAAACUACCACAGAGGGCAGCUGGGUAGCUCAGUGGAUUGAGAGCCAGGCCUAGAGACAGGAGGUCCUAGGUUCAAAUCUGGCCUCAGCUUCCCAGCUGUGUGACCCUGGGCAAGUCACUUGACCUCCAUUGCCUAGCCCUUACCACUCUUUUGCCUUGGAGCCAAUACACAGUAUUGACUCCCAGAUGGAAGGUAAGGGUUUAAAAAAUAAAAUAAAAUAAACUACCACAAAUUACAUUUUACUUUAGUAAUUCAUUUUGGGAUUUAGAAAUUAAAUCCCUGGCAACCACCAAUUAAAUAUUUAGUCCAACCAUAAAAAAUUAAUAAUACCAUAAGAAUAUAUAAGUACUAUAAGAAAUGAUAAGCAAGAUAAUUUCAGAAAAAGCUGGAAAAAUCUACAGGAACUGAUAUGGGACAAAAUAAGCAGAACUAAGAGAACAUUGUACACAAUAACAGCAAUAUUGGAUGUAUCUGUAUCUGUAAAAAACUUGGCCACCUCUCAGCAAUGCAAUAAUCUGGGACAAUCUUGAAAGAUUUGUGACUGGGAAUAAUAUUCACCUCCAGAGAAAGAUCUGUUGAAGUCAUCUUUCACAUCAGUGUAUCUGUGGUUUUAUUUUGGGGGUUUUGGUUAUAUAUAAUUUUGUUCUUACAGCAAUGAACAAUAUGGAAGUGUUAUUUUGCAUGACAAUAAAAUAUAUAUAUAUAUAUUUUUUAAAAGAGGAUUGUUUUGGGGUGUCUUCCAGAAGAUCUGGGAUUUAGAACUAGAGGGACUUUUGAAGUCAUUUGUCCCAACAUCCCUAUUUUACAAUAGAGGCACAGAUAACUAGAAGCUGAUUUGGGAUUUGAACUCAAAUCUCCUAAUCCAGAAUCCAGGAUUCUGGCCUUGCUCCCCAAUGAGUUCUAAAUGUGCAUACCUUUUGACUCACUGAUAUCACUCUUAGGUUGUUAAUUUCCUAAGGUAAUAGGGAAAAAGGAAAAGAACCUGUAUGUUCUAGAAUAUUUACAGCAGCACUCUUUGCAGUGACAAAGAACUGGAAAUCAAGGGGAUGCCCAUCAGUAGAAGAAUGGUUAAACAAGAAGUGGAAUAUGAUUGUAAUGGAAUACUACUAUGCUGUAAGAAAUAACAAAAAAGUUAAUUUUUAAAAACAGGGAAAGAACUUCAUGAAAUUAUGAAGAGUGAAACAAGCAGAACCAAGAGGGCAUUGUAUAUGGUGACAGAAGUAUUGUCUAUCUUCCUAGAACCACUCCCCAGUUUUUGUCAUCUUUGCCAAUUCCCUAUGAGAUGAAACCUCAGAGUUGUUUUGAUUUGCAUUGCUCUUAUGAUCAUUAGUGAUUUGGAGCACUUGUUCACAUAGUUAAUAGAUUGCUAUUCUUCCAUUGAGACCUGUAUGUUCAUAUCCCUUGGACUUCUUAGCUAUUAGGAAAAUGGCAUUUGGCAUUUUAUACAUACCAUAUACAUAUACAGCCAUAUUUACAUAUGCGUGUAUAUAUCUAAAAGGAACAUAAAUUAUAUUUCAUAUAUCUGCCUCGAUAGAUAUAUUUAUAUGCAUAUCUAUAGACAUAUUGAUAGAAUUUACUAUUGAAUGUUGUGUUAGGUAGGUAUAAAUCUAAGUCUGAUUUCUGACAGACUAUUCAGUUUUCCUAACAAUUUUUACCAUAUAGAGAGUUUUUUCCCAAGUAAGUUAUGUUUUCCAUUUUAUCAAACACUAGGUUAUUUCCCUGUUUCUGAUUCUCCCUUGUCUAGUUUCUUCUUUUGGUCGAUUUCUCCAUUUUUUAGUCAUUACUAAAUGGUUUUGAUGACUGCUCCUUUAUAACACAGUUGAGAUCUAGAAGUAAUAUUAACUCUUAGCUGCCUCCUUUUUUCAUUAUUUCCCUUGACGUUUUAGAUCUUUUGUUUCUACAAAUGAAUUUUAUUAUUGUAAAGUGUUCUAUAAAAUAAUGAUGUUAAAUAGAAAUGAGUUCACUAAUCCAUACAUGAUGAUCCCUACAGAUUUAAUUUUGAGACAGUAUCUGUGGUGCUUUAUAUUUUCAUUUAUUUAAAAAAUAUUUCCCAAUUAUACUUUAAUCUGGUUUAGAACUCAGGAGUAUUGUGUGUUGCAUACCUGAAGGCCACAUGUUUGAAACCUCUGCAUAUAUCUUUGAGAUUUUCAUUGGGACAGCAUUAAAACUGCAAUUUAACUUUGGUAGUAUUUCCAUUUUUAUGUUGUUGGCACAGCCUAGUCAUGAACACUGAAUAUCUUUAUAUCUAUUUAUGUUUUUUUUUUUAGUUUUAUUUUAAAAACUCUUACCUUCCGUUCCUUGGUUCCAAGGUAGAAGAGUGGUAAGGGCUAGGCAAUGGGGGUCAAGUGACUUGCCCAGGGUCACACAGAUGGGAAGUGUCUGAGGCCAGAUUUGUACCUAGGACCUCCCAUCUCUACGCCUGGUUCUCAAUACACUGAGCCACCGAGUUGCCCCCUUAUGUUUUUUUUUUUUUUAAACCCUUACCUUCCAUCUUAGAGUCAAUACUGUGUAUUGGCUCCAAGGCAGAAGAGUGGUAAGGGCUAGGCAAUGGGGGUCAAGUGACUUGCCCAGGGUCACACAGCUGGGAAGUGUCUGAGGCCAGAUUUGAACCUAGGACCUCCCGUCUCUAGGGCUAGCUCUCAAUCCACUGAGCUACCCAGCUGCCCCCCCCCCCCUUAUGUUUUUUUUAAAGAACUCUUUUAAAUUGAAUCCAUAUGAGUCUUUUGUAUGUUUUUGCAGAGUAAGCCUCACAGGAUUGUUCUAAAGAUCAAAUGAAAUAAUGUUUGUAAAUCACUUAUCACAGUGCUCGGCAUAUAACUGGUAUUUAAUAAGUAUUUAUUUCCUUCCUAUUCUUGUUAUUAUAUGGAAAUGCUUUUGAUUUUUGUAGGUUUAUUUUGUUGCCUGCAACUUUCCUAAAUUUAUUAAUUGUUUUUGUUGGAAUGGCUGCUGAUUUCUAAGAAUUUUCUAAGUAAAUCAUCAUGCCAUCAGCAAAUAGGGAUUGUUUUAGCUAACUGUAAGCUUUUGGUUUCUUUUUAUGUUUGUUUGCUUUUUGCUAACAUUUCUAAGACUAUAUAAAUGACAUUACUUUUCCUUCAGUAAUGAUCACCUUUUUCAGAUUAAUGUGUUAUCUAGACAUCAAUACUGAAUCAUUGAUUUUUAAUUCAUAAGAGUGUAAUAAAAUGAAGAAAUACUAAAGAUCCCAUGUGAACAGAAUCGACUUUUUCUGUAAUGAUUCAGAAGCAAAGCAAGUUUGGAUUCUGCAAAGCCUCAAGGUCACAACUAUUAGACUUAACUGAAUAAAUAAUAAAUUUUAGAGUAAGAGGGGAAUAAAAUUUUAACUAGUGUUAAUGAAUUACCCAAAAUAAUAAUAUCUCACAUUUCUUUAAUACUUUAAGAUUUAUAAAACGCAUCCCUCAAAAGAGCCCUGAGGCUUAUGAGUUGAACAGGCACAGUCUGUCUCUGCUCUGGACAUGACCUUUUCUCAAGCCCAAGAUCCCCUUAUUUCACCCUUUUCCAGAAAUUUACAUAUUCAGGGCUGCUUUCUUAUUUGAUUCAGCUAGGUCUCCCCUAGACAAAAUCAAGCUCUCCCUACCUAUGGCAUCAGAAAUAGGAAACCAAUUAAAUGUGCCUGUGUGUGAAGAUGCUCCUGUCCCUUUUAAAUCUGUAACCCCCUUCCCAAUGAUGGAGAGCUUAGAAAAAUUGCAUGUUCCUUGUCCAAGGGCGAACCUCUCUGUAAGACCAUUGUUGACCUCUCCUUUUUUCUCCUACUGUGUCCCUGAGAUCACUACACUCAGAGGUAUGCUGGAGCCAGUUUGAACUGAUGGAUAAGAUGAUGGUCAAAUUUUCAUGUAUUUAUACCUUGGAAAUGGGCAAAUUAAAAAGAAAAGAAAAAGAAAGGAAGAAAUGGGCAAAUGCCUUAAAUCAGGGUUUUCUCUUUUAUUGUCUAGAUUUAAGAAAAUGAUAAAGAAAGUGCUGAUAAUACAGAUUAAACUUGAGUGCAUCAUGCCUCCUGACAUUUGUUUUUAUUUCCUGGGGGCAUGGGGCGCUGCUUGUUAAAUAUUUACCAGCACACCCCUGACUAUACCUGAAGUUCCUGUUGCCUCCCUGGCUGUAGCCUUCCUUUAUUUCCUUCAUUCGGUGUUUCAUUUGGGGCUUUCAGGCUUCUUCAUGUAGUCUAAGAGGUGUUAUAAUAAAGGCUUGUUGCUUUACAUAUAUCUGGCCUGUCUGAUUCUCUUGUGAAUCUAAGACCCAUAAACUGAGUAGGACGGAUAGAUAAGGGCAUGUGUUGUUAUCCCCACUUUAUAGAUAAGGAAACUGAGUCUCAGAGAAACGAUAUGGCAGAGUUGAAUUUUCUGGCGUUAAACUGAGCACUUUUGGCAGAUUAGGACAAACAAGCUUCCAUGACCUCCUUAGGGGUGAUUUCUGGAUCUCUCCUACACAAAGGGCCUGGAACACAGAUUUGAGGGGUUGGGGUUUAGCAGUAACUCUACCUUUGGUGACAGCAAUUUUCCAGAAAGUGCUUUCAUGCAG
Monodelphis domestica (gray short-tailed opossum) is the source of this 5486-nucleotide non-coding RNA. The record is from RefSeq and is a predicted model, not a curated record. Lineage: Eukaryota; Metazoa; Chordata; Mammalia; Didelphimorphia; Didelphidae.